This 490-nucleotide ribosomal RNA is filed under the name uncultured bacterium. Its description in RNAcentral is "partial 16S ribosomal RNA". It matches the Rfam family "Bacterial small subunit ribosomal RNA", at positions 29 to 507 of the family's 1533-position model. The record is from RNAcentral.
AAUGAACGCUGGCGGCAUGCCUUACACAUGCAAGUCGAACGGCAGCAUGACCUAGCUUGCUAGGUUGAUGGCGAGUGGCGAACGGGUGAGUAAUGCAUCGGAACGUGCCUUUUAGUGGGGGAUAACGUAGCGAAAGUUACGCUAAUACCGCAUAUUCUCUGAGGAGGAAAGCAGGGGACCUUCGGGCCUUGCGCUAGAAGAGCGGCCGAUGUCGGAUUAGCUAGUUGGUGAGGUAAAGGCUCACCAAGGCAACGAUCCGUAGCGGGUCUGAGAGGAUGAUCCGCCACACUGGGACUGAGACACGGCCCAGACUCCUACGGGAGGCAGCAGUGGGGAAUUUUGGACAAUGGGCGCAAGCCUGAUCCAGCCAUGCCGCGUGAGUGAAGAAGGCCCUCGGGUUGUAAAGCUCUUUCGGCUGGGAAGAAAUCGCACCCUCUAAUACAGGGUGUGGAUGACGGUACCAGCAGAAGAAGCACCGGCUAACUACGUG